UUUUCCUGGUUUUGUUGUGUCUCUGCAAACGGUCCAAGGAUGCAUGUUGUAACAGGUUGAAUCAGAUUCUGAACAUCGACCGAGUCUCUGCUACACAACAGUCAGUCAACGAGAAUGAAACUCAGGCUUAUUCCUCUCUCCUUCAUGGUGAUGCUGCUGUCUACGAAUCAGUCAGAGGUUGUGGAAACACUGGAAGUGACGCACCAGCAGAUGAAUACAUCAACGUCACAUCUCAUCUUAACCUUAAAGGUCAUGAUAAGAACAG
Melanotaenia boesemani (Boeseman's rainbowfish) is the source of this 265-nucleotide long non-coding RNA. RefSeq lists it as uncharacterized. Lineage: Eukaryota; Metazoa; Chordata; Actinopteri; Atheriniformes; Melanotaeniidae. The transcript has 5 exons. The record is from RefSeq and is a predicted model, not a curated record.